Molecule: ribosomal RNA, 113 nt
Organism: Nomascus leucogenys (northern white-cheeked gibbon)
Lineage: Eukaryota; Metazoa; Chordata; Mammalia; Primates; Hylobatidae
Source: Ensembl
GUCUACAGCCAUACCACCCUGAACAUGCCUGAUCUCAAAAGCUUUCUAAGCACAGUCGGGCCUGGUUAGUACUUGGUUGUGAGACCACAUUGGAAUACUGAGUACUGUAGGCU